AUUCAACCCCCAUACUGCCUUUGGAUGUUCUUGCUGACAGGCCUCCUGAGAAGAAACUUGAGUGGGUAAGUAGAAAGGCUGAUGCCCUUAGAUAUUCUUGCAGAUAGCAGUUAUAUAGCCAUUCUGGUUUUAGGCAACUUUUCUGGUGCUUACUGAGGUUUUACUUUGUAUUUUCAUGUAAUUAUCUCUGCUGUGGGGGCGAAUAUUUACAGGUUAAGGUAUGAUACGUCUUUUCUAUGCGUCUGAUUUACUAUAUUGGGUCUUCAGCGACUAACAGUGGCUAAUAUUCCCAUUUUCUUUUUAUCCUUGUGUAUUACAGAGGCUGCUGGCAAAGUAUGGGUCUCUGAUGUCAGUGCUAUCCAUUGUGGUUCUGUUUGUGUACCUGGUUGCUACUCCAGGUAAAUCUGGUGGUGCAAAAGGAGGCAAGAAGAAGCGCUAAGCAGUGGUGAUGCAACUUCAGUGAGAUAGCAUAUGAGCAUUUGGACACAUGUUCCUUUGUUGCCGAGUUGUUUUUCUCUCCGAGUUAGUGGCACAUGUUAGUUGUCUGAAACUUCCAAAUGAAUAGUUUAUUAACAAGUUAGUGUAAGAUGAACUAGCUGAGUCAUACAGUGGGCACGAACCCAAAUCGGAUCU
RNAcentral lists this long non-coding RNA (633 nucleotides) under Fragaria vesca (wild strawberry). RNAcentral's name for it is "long non-coding RNA (FVES_LNC003422)". The record is from RNAcentral. Lineage: Eukaryota; Viridiplantae; Streptophyta; Magnoliopsida; Rosales; Rosaceae.